RNAcentral lists this small RNA (201 nucleotides) under Pseudomonas aeruginosa PAK. RNAcentral's name for it is "potential small asRNA". Lineage: Bacteria; Pseudomonadati; Pseudomonadota; Gammaproteobacteria; Pseudomonadales; Pseudomonadaceae. The record is from RNAcentral.
GGCCGUGUAACCGAUGUGGGCCGCAGAGCCUUCGUUCGAACGGGUUUGUUGCAGAAGCUUUUGCGCUGGCGCGGUGGCGAGUUCCCCUGGCAGCCAGCCGAACCAUUCGAGGCGAAUGCCAUGGCCUUCGAUUUUGCGGACAAAGCAGCCAAAGGCGGACGGCUCAGUUUCCCCCGAGCCAUCCAGAUAGCCAGCCAACCC